Molecule: unclassified non-coding RNA, 634 nt
Filed under: Debaryomyces hansenii
Lineage: Eukaryota; Fungi; Ascomycota; Pichiomycetes; Serinales; Debaryomycetaceae
Description: sequence contains 18S rRNA gene, ITS1, 5.8S rRNA gene, ITS2, 28S rRNA gene
Rfam family: 5.8S ribosomal RNA (bases 241-394)
Source: RNAcentral
GUAACAAGGUUUCCGUAGGUGAACCUGCGGAAGGAUCAUUACAGUAUUCUUUUUGCCAGCGCUUAAUUGCGCGGCGAAAAAACCUUACACACAGUGUUUUUUGUUAUUACAAGAACUUUUGCUUUGGUCUGGACUAGAAAUAGUUUGGGCCAGAGGUUUACUGAACUAAACUUCAAUAUUUAUAUUGAAUUGUUAUUUAUUUAAUUGUCAAUUUGUUGAUUAAAUUCAAAAAAUCUUCAAAACUUUCAACAACGGAUCUCUUGGUUCUCGCAUCGAUGAAGAACGCAGCGAAAUGCGAUAAGUAAUAUGAAUUGCAGAUUUUCGUGAAUCAUCGAAUCUUUGAACGCACAUUGCGCCCUCUGGUAUUCCAGAGGGCAUGCCUGUUUGAGCGUCAUUUCUCUCUCAAACCUUCGGGUUUGGUAUUGAGUGAUACUCUUAGUUGAACUAGGCGUUUGCUUGAAAUGUAUUGGCAUGAGUGGUACUGGAUAGUGCUAUAUGACUUUCAAUGUAUUAGGUUUAUCCAACUCGUUGAAUAGUUUAAUGGUAUAUUUCUCGGUAUUCUAGGCUCGGCCUUACAAUAUAACAAACAAGUUUGACCUCAAAUCAGGUAGGAUUACCCGCUGAACCUAAGCAU